This 375-nucleotide ribosomal RNA is filed under the name uncultured bacterium. Its description in RNAcentral is "bacterial SSU rRNA". It matches the Rfam family "Bacterial small subunit ribosomal RNA", at positions 29 to 406 of the family's 1533-position model. The record is from RNAcentral.
AUUGAACGCUGGCGGCAUGCCUUACACAUGCAAGUCGAACGGCAGCACGGGGGCAACCCUGGUGGCGAGUGGCGAACGGGUGAGUAAUACAUCGGAACGUGCCCAGUAGUGGGGGAUAGCCCGGCGAAAGCCGGAUUAAUACCGCAUACGACCUACGGGUGAAAGCGGGGGAUCGCAAGACCUCGCGCUAUUGGAGCGGCCGAUGUCAGAUUAGGUUGUUGGUGGGGUAAGAGCCACCAAGCCGACGAUCUGUAGCUGGUCUGAGAGGACGACCAGCCACACUGGGACUGAGACACGGCCCAGACUCCUACGGGAGGCAGCAGUGGGGAAUUUUGGACAAUGGGCGCAAGCCUGAUCCAGCCAUGCCGCGUGCGG